This 370-nucleotide ribosomal RNA is filed under the name Euscorpiops sp. 1 VO-2020. RNAcentral's name for it is "partial large subunit ribosomal RNA". The record is from RNAcentral. Lineage: Eukaryota; Metazoa; Arthropoda; Arachnida; Scorpiones; Euscorpiidae.
AAUCAUUAGUCUUUUAAUUUGAGACUGGAAUGAAUGGUUUCACUAAUUAAUUUUGUCUCAUUUCAAUAUUUUGAAUUUUAUAUUUUAGUAAAAAAGCUAAAAUUAUUUUUAAAGACGAGAAGACCCUAUCAAGCUUUAUAAUAAAAUUUGUAUAUUCAAAAUAAAAAUUAAAUUAUUUUGCUGGGGCAGUAAGUAGAAAAUUUCUACUUUAUCAUUGUGAUUUGUUAAUCUUAUUAAACCUAAAAAUUUUUAAAUAAAAAUAAGUUACUGUAGGGAUAACAGCAUAAUUUUUUUAAAGAGUUCUUAUCAUCAAAAAAGUUUGUGACCUCGAUGUUGGAUUAAGAGCCCUAACUCAUGCAAUAGUGAAAUA